Molecule: transfer RNA, 75 nt
Filed under: Candidatus Omnitrophota bacterium
Lineage: Bacteria; Pseudomonadati; Candidatus Omnitrophota
Description: Candidatus Omnitrophica bacterium (sediment metagenome) tRNA-Val
Rfam family: tRNA
About the family: Transfer RNA (tRNA) molecules are approximately 80 nucleotides in length.
Source: RNAcentral
GGGCGGUUAGCUCAGUUUGGUUAGAGCAUCUGAUUUACAUUCAGAGGGUCACAGGUUCGAGUCCUGUACUGCCCA